Molecule: transfer RNA, 72 nt
Filed under: Toxocara canis (dog roundworm)
Lineage: Eukaryota; Metazoa; Nematoda; Chromadorea; Rhabditida; Toxocaridae
Rfam family: tRNA
About the family: Transfer RNA (tRNA) molecules are approximately 80 nucleotides in length.
Source: Rfam by way of RNAcentral
GGGGCUGUAGCUCAGUGGUAGAGCUCCCGCUUCCUAUGCGGGAAGAUCUGGGUUUUGAUUCCGGCUGCUUCU